Molecule: ribosomal RNA, 433 nt
Filed under: uncultured bacterium
Lineage: Bacteria
Description: partial 16S ribosomal RNA
Rfam family: Bacterial small subunit ribosomal RNA
Source: RNAcentral
AACGAACGCUGGCGGCAUGCCUAACACAUGCAAGUCGAACGAGACCUCCGGGCCUAGUGGCGCACGGGUGCGUAACGCGUGGGAACCUGCCCUUAGGUUCGGAAUAACUCCCCGUAAGGGGUGCUAAUACCGGAUAAUGUCAUAGGACCAAAGAUUUACCGCCUUUGGAUGGGGCCGCGUUGGAUUAGCCAGUUGGUAGUGUAAAAGCCUACCAAGGCGACGAUCCAUAGCUGGUCUGGGAGGAUGAUAAAGCACACUGGGACUGAGGCACGGCCCAGACUGCUACGGGAGGCAGCAGUAGGUAAUAUUGGGCAAUGGGCGAAAGCCUGAUCAAGCAACGCCGCGUGAGUGAUGAAGGGCUUAGGGUUGUAAAGCUCUUUUACCCGGAAUGAUAAUGACGGUACCGGGAGAAUAAGCUCCGGCUAACUCCGUG